GACGAACGCUGGCGGCGUGCUUAACACAUGCAAGUCGAACGGAAAGGCCCUGCUUUUGUGGGGUGCUCGAGUGGCGAACGGGUGAGUAACACGUGAGUAGCCUGCCCUUGACUUUGGGAUAACUUCAGGAAACUGGGGCUAAUACCGGAUAGGAGCUCCUGCUGCAUGGUGGGGGUUGGAAAGUUUCGGCGGUUGGGGAUGGACUCGCGGCUUAUCAGCUUGUUGGUGGGGUAGUGGCUUACCAAGGCUUUGACGGGUAGCCGGCCUGAGAGGGUGACCGGCCACAUUGGGACUGAGAUACGGCCCAGACUCCUACGGGAGGCAGCAGUGGGGAAUAUUGCACAAUGGGCGGAAGCCUGACGCAGCAACGCCGCGUGCGGGAUGACGGCCUUCGGGUUGUAAACCGCUUUCGCCUGUGACGAAGCGUGAGUGACGGUAAUGGGUAAAGAAGCACCGGCUAACUACGUG
Molecule: ribosomal RNA, 468 nt
Filed under: uncultured bacterium
Lineage: Bacteria
Description: partial 16S ribosomal RNA
Rfam family: Bacterial small subunit ribosomal RNA
Source: RNAcentral